CCGGAUCUCAGAUCAAGUAAG
Molecule: ribosomal RNA, 21 nt
Filed under: Pseudo-nitzschia mannii
Lineage: Eukaryota; Bacillariophyta; Bacillariophyceae; Bacillariales; Bacillariaceae
Description: partial 28S ribosomal RNA
Source: RNAcentral